Molecule: ribosomal RNA, 495 nt
Filed under: uncultured bacterium
Lineage: Bacteria
Description: partial 16S ribosomal RNA
Rfam family: Bacterial small subunit ribosomal RNA
Source: RNAcentral
ACGCACGCUGGCGGCGUGCCUCAUACAUGCAAGUUGAGCGCUGAAGGUUGGUACUUGUACCAACUGGAUGAGCAGCGAACGGGUGAGUAACGCGUGGGGAAUCUGCCUUUGAGCGGGGGACAACAUUUGGAAACGAAUGCUAAUACCGCAUAAAAACUUUAAACACAAGUUUUAAGUUUGAAAGAUGCAAUUGCAUCACUCAAAGAUGAUCCCGCGUUGUAUUAGCUAGUUGGUGAGGUAAAGGCUCACCAAGGCGAUGAUACAUAGCCGACCUGAGAGGGUGAUCGGCCACAUUGGGACUGAGACACGGCCCAAACUCCUACGGGAGGCAGCAGUAGGGAAUCUUCGGCAAUGGACGAAAGUCUGACCGAGCAACGCCGCGUGAGUGAAGAAGGUUUUCGGAUCGUAAAACUCUGUUGGUAGAGAAGAACGUUGGUGAGAGUGGAAAGCUCAUCAAGUGACGGUAACUACCCAGAAAGGGACGGCUAACUACGU